CAGCCGCCGCGGGAAUACAGAGGGUGCGAGCGUUAAUCGGAUUUACUGGGCGUAAAGCGUGCGUAGGCGGCUUCUUAAGUCGGAUGUGAAAUCCCUGAGCUUAACUUAGGAAUUGCAUUCGAUACUGGGAAGCUAGAGUAUGGGAGAGGAUGGUAGAAUUCCAGGUGUAGCGGUGAAAUGCGUAGAGAUCUGGAGGAAUACCGAUGGCGAAGGCAGCCAUCUGGCCUAAUACUGACGCUGAGGUACGAAAGCGUGGGGAGCAAACAGGAUUAGAUACCCCCGUAGUCCCUGUCUCUUAUAC
Molecule: ribosomal RNA, 301 nt
Filed under: uncultured bacterium
Lineage: Bacteria
Description: partial 16S ribosomal RNA
Rfam family: Bacterial small subunit ribosomal RNA
Source: RNAcentral